Molecule: long non-coding RNA, 3322 nt
Filed under: Sus scrofa (pig)
Lineage: Eukaryota; Metazoa; Chordata; Mammalia; Artiodactyla; Suidae
Description: lncRNA (ENSSSCG00000054897.1)
Source: RNAcentral
AGCUGAGUAUUCAGAAAAAAAUUAGAGGCCAUAUUGUGUACAUAUUCUUUAUAUGUGUUUAACAAGUAGCAGGCAACAAUUCUUUGGGUGCUGAAACUGGAUUAGGCACAAGUUGGGGCUUAUUUGACCAUAUCCAACCUAUCAUGAUAGAACAAUUUUGAAUAAUUAGGUUUCUCCCCCAAAGCAUACCUACCACAUUUACGAUAUGUAACUAAAAUAAGGAUAGUGUUCCAUUUAUUAGAAUGAGAACUAAAUGGCCACUAGAGAUAGCUGGAUUGAGCUUCAGGGAGAAGUUCUUUUUUCUUUUCCCCUAGAUAUCCAACAGGAAGUGUUUCAUUUUAGUAUCGGCUUUGUCACUAUCCACAUUUAUAUGGAUAAAUAUGAUUGACUGUUAUGAAAAUCACAUCACAGCUAUUUUUUCUACUUUGAACAAAGUGACCCUUCUCAUUUACAUUCACCUGCUGUCUUCCAUGUGUCACAAAGGAAUCAACCACCAUGUGAGAAAUGAGUCAUCUAUCCAAAGCAAAUGCAGCUUGCUAAGACCCAUUCUUCUUUUACUUAAUUCACAUUAGCUUGGAAGUUCUACAGUAGUGACUAGGUAGGAUUGUUUACUUAGGCAACACAUGCAGAUGAAUCUUACUUAUAAUGCUUUAUAUAAGCAACAGUCAUGGUAAUUGAGAAGCACCACAAAAUUUGAAUUGCUUUGUGUUAUACUGGUGGAUAUCAUACUUACCAUGUGCUUACUCACAGUGUGAAAUAUCAUGCUAUGGUAGCAGUUGGAAGACAGAGGCAACAUAGUUGAAAAAAUAAUCCUUAAAUUGCAAGGAGAAGAGACUAUAGAUGAGCCCCAGAACUAAGGCCAUUCUGAGGAUAUAAAAUAUAUACAAAUAUGGUAGAGUUACACAAUGAUGUAUAAAUUAAAAAAUUUUUUAAUAUUCCUUCUCUCAUUUGUACCUCAUUAGCUGGUGAGUUAACAUUAUGAUUAUUUUUUUGGAAAGAAACAAAUGUCUUGCUCUUAAUAAACAGUCAGUGGUUAGUAAAAGUAAGGGCACACUUCACUUGGGCAUUUCCUGAUAUGUUUACAAUUUAAAGGAUUUCCACUAAUGUAGUUUCUAUGUGUCUGGGUAGAAGGGUGCUGACCAAAAACAAAUAAAUUGUGACAGUGACUGAAUUGCUAGAUGAUAUGUCAUUAUAAAAGAUUCUUCUGUUUUGGUAUUCUAAUUGACUACACUUAAUAUUAGAAAUUUCUGUUGGCUAUAUAAAUGCCUUAUUAUAAGAAAACAAGAUAGCUUCAGGAGUUCCCAUUGUUAAGAACCUGACACUGUGUCUGUGAGGAUGUGGGUUCAAUCCCUGGCCUCGCUCAGUGAGUUUUAGAUCUGGCGUUGCUUCAAGGUGCAGUGUAGGUCACAGAUGUGACUCGGAUUCAGUGUUGCCAUGGCUGUGACGUAGGCUGGCAGCUGCAGCUCCGAUUUGACUCCUAGCCCAGGAACUUCCAUAUGCCACAGGUGUGGUCUUAAAAAGAAAAAAAAAAAAGUACAAGAUAGCUUCAUGAAAGUUGUUUAAUAGUAUAUUUUAUUGGUUUUCAGGUAUUGAUUUGACAUCUAUACACCUUGAUUUAAAAGUUUUCACUUUAUUUUGUAUUCAUCUCAUACCCAAUUAAGUUUAAAAUGAAUGCAAACAAGGUAUGGGGCAUAAGUUAUUUAAAAAUAAACCAUUUGUCACUGGAGUGAAAUCAGAAAUCACGGGAUUUAUGGUAGUUAUAGUUCAGUGAAAUGGUGCCCUCUUAUAGUAUCUCCGAAUCAUUCCAUUUCCCUAUUUUCACACCUCCAUUAUCCAUAUCUAGUCCCCUGUACUAGCUGCUAUUCUGUUCUACAAUAAAAGACAUAGUUUUAAACUUCCUCUACUUUUGGAAGGCACACUUUUCUUGCAGCUCAGUUUAUGAACAAAAAUGAUCAAUAUUUACUAUUGUAGUGAAGUCAAUACUCUGACUUAUUUGUCCAAAGUUAAUUGGGGCCAAUUAUUUGUACUCUGCUAAUAAAAACUCACGUUUUAAAAUUCAGGAGAAACAUUAGCACCUUCCUUUUAUCAUCCUUAAGCAGCUCUCUGGCAUAACAAUGAUAUUUUAAAUUGGAUCAAAAGCUCAUAGGAUAUUAAGAUACAUUUGUUAGUAUUUCUACUAUUUUAAUGAAAUAGUGACAGUGACAGCCUUCUGCAUUUCUUUUAACAUUCAUUAGGUCACUUAGGCCUUAUAUUAUGUGAAGAAAUAAUUAUCAUCAAAACAUUGUCUCUGUCUCAGUAUGAAAAACAUUCUAAUUCAAAUUCAGUCAAACAAGUAUCAAGAAUGCUGAGGGAAUGAGAUAGAUCUCUUUUGACAAGACAGUAAAAACUUCCUCUUUGCCAUGGCCAGGAAUGCUCUAUUCAGAGAUGGUCCAAGAUACUCAAGAAAAGACUCAAGAAAACAUAUGGUUUUAGCAGUUUAAUGAAAGAGCAGAGCCUUUACUUAAGGAACUAUAAUUAUAAAGACCUAUAAUCAUCAUGUUAAAUCAGGAUGGGGAAUUCUCAGCACCUCAAAGUAAUUACCUAUGGGUAUGAAAGAACUAAGAACACCUGGAAGUUCUCAGAAUGUACAUGACCUGAGGCAGGGUCAGCUUCGUGGCCAUGUGAUCUAUGCCGUUGCCCAGGACCAAGGGCUCAGAAGGACCCUUGCACUUGGUUUAAUGCUUUGCUUUUGCCUUCUUAAAAUGCCUAAUAAUUUUUGAACAGGGGACCCUGGGUUUUCCUUUUGCCUUGGACCCCGCAAAUAUGUAGCCAGUACUAAUGUGAGGUUACCUGAGAGAGAAACUUUUGCAUGAGGUAGCUAGUAAGUGAGAAAGACCCAUGCUAGCAGCUUUGCCAGUGGGGUACAUCGAGCAAACUAUAGAGUAGAGAACAGUGCAGACUGGGCCCUCCAAGCAGUGGGGGGUGGGGGAAGGGGUAGGGUGGGUAUUGAUUUAGAAAAUAAUGAAUGUUUUUGGAGGCCUUGUGAGUAGGAAAGGCAAAAGGAUGGAGAUGGAUGUUUCUUUCCUUUUGGUAUCUUGCAUCCUACAUAAUUUAAAAUGGAUUUCCGAAUUGGCCUUCUAGAACACCAUUCUCUAAGCUUUUCUAAUUGUCCGCUCCUGUCAUUAUAAAAAUGUGAAUGUGCAUCUCCAAAUAAAGGCCUAUUAGUUUAAAACUUACAUUUCAUAUUACUAUAAAACCAUGAUAUAUGCAACAUUAUCAAAUAAAAAUGUAGUGCAAGCCACAAAUGAAGCCACAUAUAUAAUUUUAAAGUUUUCUAAUAGCC